UAGGGAAUCUUCGGCAAUGGACGAAAGUCUGACCGAGCAACGCCGCGUGAGUGAAGAAGGUUUUCGGAUCGUAAAACUCUGUUGUUAGAGAAGAACAAGGACGUUAGUAACUGAACGUCCCCUGACGGUAUCUAACAAGAAAGCCACGGCUAACUACGUGCCAGCAGCCGCGGUAAUACGUAGGUGGCAAGCGUUGUCCGGAUUUAUUGGGCGUAAAGCGAGCGCAGGCGGUUUCUUAAGUCUGAUGUGAAAGCCCCCGGCUCAACCGGGGAGGGUCAUUGGAAACUGGGAGACUUGAGUGCAGAAGAGGAGAGUGGAAUUCCAUGUGUAGCGGUGAAGUGCGUAGAUAUAUGGAGGAACACCAGUGGCGAAGGCGGCUCUCUGGUCUGUAACUGACGCUGAGGCUCGAAAGCGUGGGGAGCAAACAGG
Molecule: ribosomal RNA, 429 nt
Filed under: Gemmatimonadota bacterium
Lineage: Bacteria; Pseudomonadati; Gemmatimonadota
Description: Gemmatimonadetes bacterium partial 16S ribosomal RNA
Rfam family: Bacterial small subunit ribosomal RNA
Source: RNAcentral